UGGAGCUGGCUGAAUGAGGACUGGCUGAGCAGGGAGCUGGCUGGAUCUGGGAAGGAGAGGUUGGAUAAAGACUCCUGUAUAUUAUACUUAUUAGUAGCACUGAAGAUGACAGCUUCAGGCUUUCAUGCAAUAUUCUAUUCUGCUGCCUAUCAGCAAUUCACUCAUAGGAAGUCACUCUGAAUUCCCUAACAACAAACAUGAACUGCAAAACUUUCAGAGUGUGUGUCAGCCUGGACAUUUACUUUCCGAAUGUAGGACUAUACUCUUUACAUAGAGACUAGGAGUACUUUGUGGACACACGAGAUCUUCAAAUGAUAAGAAGAUUCUUUAAGGAAAAGAUGUUCUACACUGAAAAAUUCUGAGAUGCCACCCAGGUAUGAUCACACCAAAACAGUGAAUUACAUGAUGCCAGGAGAGUGGAGGAGAGUUUGAAACACUGACAGCGGACACCAUGCCCAACACAAUACAUGAGAAUGUGAAUGCACAGCUACUGCAAGCUCUCGGAGGCAGAAUUGAGACUCUCUCAUAAAUAAAGAACAGUUAAAGUGGAAAUCAGCAUUUUCAUGAACUGGUGAGUUUCUGAAGAACAAUGAUUCCUUUGAUGUCUACUGAUGUACCUUUGCACGGGUGCUUGACAAACAAGCAUUCAGCUUCCAUUUUUGCCAGUGCUCCAAGUAGAAGCCACCAUGCACAGAUGGAAAAAAAAACACUACAGAAAAGCCUUUGAACUGAGCCCUGAAUUUUCAUUCUGAAUGUUCCUGAGAAACAGGGAGUGGGAAAGAGAGGCAGAAGAGCUGCAAUAAACACAGCAACUUGAGGAUGAGAAGAAGCAGAUAUGAAAAAUGGUUUACUGAUGAAAAGGACAGAAGCAGUCAGGGGGCAGCAAAUGGGGGAAUCUGAGAGGGAGAUGCCCUGCUGAAGGAGUGAACACUAAUUCUUGGGGUCUACGCAGACAGCCGGCACAGCAAACCUUGAGCGAACCAAUGACCACAAGAGCCGUUAAGGUACAAAAACACCAGGCCAGGUUUAUUGUCGACAAAGCACCAGUAAUAGCACGAGGAUACUAAGACAUGUAUGCCUGUGACAAUGGACGCACCUCUGUGAAUGGCAGAACUUUCCAUUGCCCCCUCGGCUGGACCAAGACACUCUUCGAGAUUCCUCUUUAUACCCUGAUACAAACAAAUUAUGUACUGCCCCCGUGAGAUAAAUAGUUACUGCCCCAAUGUGACUAGUUAUCACCCAUCUCCUUGUGCACGUUGGUUCGAUUUAAACAUCUCUACCACUCUGUUAUCCUGACCUUGUCUUUUAGGAGGGGUCAGCAUGUUCCUGUUAUCCUUGGAAAAUAUUUUUGU
Mauremys reevesii (Reeves's turtle) is the source of this 1352-nucleotide long non-coding RNA. RefSeq lists it as uncharacterized. The record is from RefSeq and is a predicted model, not a curated record. The transcript is spliced from 7 exons. Lineage: Eukaryota; Metazoa; Chordata; Testudines; Geoemydidae.